RNAcentral lists this non-coding RNA (29 nucleotides) under Homo sapiens (human). The record is from RNAcentral. Lineage: Eukaryota; Metazoa; Chordata; Mammalia; Primates; Hominidae.
UGCAACCCAAGAGGAGGCCACAACUGAUC